GACCUUGAUGUUCAUUUUUUUUUUUUGUAUCCCUAACAUCUAGCAAGGGACCCAGCACUUGGUAAAUGUUCACUGAAUGAAAUGAGGGGUGUAGCUUUCUGCCCUGAGUCCUGCUAUUCCCCUGCAGGGAGUGCUGCUGUAUGGACCUCCAGGCACUGGGAAGACACUGUUGGCCCGGGCUGUGGCUCAUCAUACGGACUGUACCUUUAUUCGUGUCUCUGGCUCUGAAUUGGUACAGAAAUUCAUAGGGGAAGGGGCAAGAAUGGUGAGGGAGCUGUUUGUCAUGGCACGGGAACAUGCUCCGUCUAUCAUCUUCAUGGACGAAAUCGACUCCAUCGGCUCCUCGCGGCUGGAGGGGGGUUCUGGAGGGGACAGUGAAGUGCAGCGCACGAUGCUGGAGUUGCUCAACCAGCUCGACGGCUUUGAGGCCACCAAGAACAUCAAGGUUAUCAUGGCUACUAAUAGGAUUGAUAUCCUGGACUCGGCACUGCUUCGCCCAGGGCGCAUUGACAGAAAAAUUGAAUUCCCACCCCCCAAUGAGGAGGUUUGUGAUGGGCACUGUGCAAAGUGGCUCUGACUGUGGGGGUGGGGUGUGGGGCUCAGGCCUUUCCUUGCCAUCUCCAGGCCCGGCUGGACAUUUUG
Molecule: small RNA, 642 nt
Filed under: Pongo abelii (Sumatran orangutan)
Lineage: Eukaryota; Metazoa; Chordata; Mammalia; Primates; Hominidae
Description: retained intron
Source: RNAcentral